GAAGAGGGUAUUCCGCCCUAUUGGUCUUCGGGAUUAUGGUCGAAGCAGAGUAGAUGAAGACCCAACAGCCAUUUUCUUGAUUGACCGAAGUGGGUACUCCGCCCUAUUGGUCUUCGAGAUUAUGGUCGAAGCAGAGUAGAUGAAGACUCAACAACCAUUUUCUUGAUUGACCGAAGAGGGUACUCCGCCCUAUUGGUCUUUGGGAUUAUGGUCGAAGCAGACCCAGAAGCCGCACUCCUGAGAAUCCACUGAGGGCACACCGCCCUGUGGAUACUUGUCUUCGGGAAAAUCCAUCUAAAGUUGCAGCUUCAGAUGGAAAGCAGCUGAGGAGUCCGACAAAGCCGUUGCAGUACUUCAGCAGAAGCAGAGCUCGUGGACAUUGCAUGCAGAUGGAUAUUCUAUUUCGGACAUCAGUACAGUAGGCUAUCAAGGGGUCGAUCACAAUAACAAUUCCAUUGCUGAUGCAUUAUCGAAGUUGGCUACUACGGAUGCUUAUAACUUUGAUGGCAUAUGGCGUCCUUCCUUCAGAUCAGAUGCCGGCUAAAGAAGAUCAAGUAUAAGAGUGUCAAUUUUGUUCUCAUUAAUGAGAAUCUUUUUCGAAGGUCCUUUUUCGUCACCAUUGCUCAAAUAUUUGGUUCUGUCCGAAGCAGAGUAUGUUCUUCGGGAAGUUCACAAAGACAUCUGUGGCGAUCAU
Molecule: long non-coding RNA, 694 nt
Filed under: Panax ginseng (ginseng)
Lineage: Eukaryota; Viridiplantae; Streptophyta; Magnoliopsida; Apiales; Araliaceae
Description: long non-coding RNA (PGIN_LNC008345)
Source: RNAcentral